AAAAAGGGACAAAACUACGUUAUUUUAGGAAAAUCCCAAAAUGACGUUGUUUUGGAUAAGAAAAAAAAUUUUGACCAAAGGCAUGUUCGCCUCUGAUCGGGGAGGAAGAGGAUGAAGAGGCGUGUACGCCUCUUUUCUCCACCGAAUAAGAAGGAGGAAGAGUCAUGUAGGGCUUUCCUUUAUCCGACUAUAAAUCAAGUAGAGAAAGAUAUAGAGUGGGGAGAGAGAGAAACAGAUCGGAACAGGUAGAGAGAGAGAGCUCCAGCAGAGUGAAGAAG
This 278-nucleotide long non-coding RNA is filed under the name Carica papaya (papaya). Its description in RNAcentral is "long non-coding RNA (CPAP_LNC003582)". Lineage: Eukaryota; Viridiplantae; Streptophyta; Magnoliopsida; Brassicales; Caricaceae. The record is from RNAcentral.